CUUAAUUUCCAAUUUUGUAAACACACUGCAGCAAGCGCUGAGACCUUCCCGAGCUGCCACCGGUCUGCGAGCAGAGUGGCACAAAUCUACUUGAUUUCCAGGGGAACAGGGUUGGUCCCAGCUUUAAAAAGAGGUAAGAAGCAGUAUUUUUUUGUUCAUCUUUGCAGCGCUUUUUUGC
RNAcentral lists this long non-coding RNA (178 nucleotides) under Struthio camelus australis. RNAcentral describes it as "lncRNA (ENSSCUG00000015838.1)". Lineage: Eukaryota; Metazoa; Chordata; Aves; Struthioniformes; Struthionidae. The record is from RNAcentral.